This 254-nucleotide ribosomal RNA is filed under the name uncultured bacterium. RNAcentral describes it as "partial 16S ribosomal RNA". It matches the Rfam family "Bacterial small subunit ribosomal RNA", at positions 524 to 776 of the family's 1533-position model. The record is from RNAcentral.
UACGGAGGGGGGCUAGCGUUGUUCGGAAUACUGGGCGUAAAGCGUGCGCAGGCGGUGAUGUAAGACAGUUGUGAAAUCCCCGGGCUCAACCUGGGAACUGCAUCUGUGACUGCAUUGCUGGAGUGCGGCAGAGGGGGAUGGAAUUCCGCGUGUAGCAGUGAAAUGCGUAGAUAUGCGGAGGAACACCGAUGGCGAAGGCAAUCCCCCUGGGCCUGCACUGACGCUCAUGCACGAAAGCGUGGGGAGCAAACAGG